This 468-nucleotide ribosomal RNA is filed under the name uncultured bacterium. RNAcentral's name for it is "partial 16S ribosomal RNA". It matches the Rfam family "Bacterial small subunit ribosomal RNA", at positions 28 to 507 of the family's 1533-position model. The record is from RNAcentral.
GACGAACGCUGGCGGCGUGCUUAACACAUGCAAGUCGAACGGAAAGGCCCUGCUUUUGUGGGGUGCUCGAGUGGCGAACGGGUGAGUAACACGUGAGUAACCUGCCCUUGACUUUGGGAUAACUUCAGGAAACUGGGGCUAAUACCGGAUAGGAGCUCCUGCUGCAUGGUGGGGGUUGGAAAGCUUCGGCGGUUGGGGAUGGACUCGCGGCUUAUCAGCUUGUUGGUGGGGUAGUGGCUUACCAAGGCUUUGGCGGGUAGCCGGCCUGAGAGGGUGACCGGCCACAUUGGGACUGAGAUACGGCCCAGACUCCUACGGGAGGCAGCAGUGGGGAAUAUUGCACAAUGGGCGGAAGCCUGAUGCAGCAACGCCGCGUGCGGGAUGACGGCCUUCGGGUUGUAAACCGCUUUCGCCUGUGACGAAGCGUGAGUGACGGUAAUGGGUAAAGAAGCACCGGCUAACUACGUG